This 325-nucleotide ribosomal RNA is filed under the name uncultured eukaryote. RNAcentral describes it as "partial 18S ribosomal RNA". It matches the Rfam family "Eukaryotic small subunit ribosomal RNA", at positions 1470 to 1796 of the family's 1831-position model. The record is from RNAcentral.
CCCUUAGAUGUUCUGGGCCGCACGCGCGCUACACUGACGAAUUCAACGAGCUUUCCUUGGCCGGAAGGUCCGGGUAAUCUGCGAAAUUUCGUCGUGAUGGGGAUAGAUUAUUGCAAUUAUUAAUCUUCAACGAGGAAUUCCUAGUAAGCGCGAGUCAUCAGCUCGCGUUGAUUACGUCCCUGCCCUUUGUACACACCGCCCGUCGCUCCUACCGAUUGAAUGGUCCGGUGAAGCGUUCGGAUGAGUGUGGGGAGGCGGUUCGCCGCCCCUUCACAUUCAGAAGUUCGUUAAACCUUAUCAUUUAGAGGAAGGAGAAGUCGUAACA